GGGCCCGCACAAGCGGUGGAGCAUGUGGUUUAAUUCGAUGCAACGCGAAGAACCUUACCAGGGCUUGACAUACUACAGGAUCCUGCGGAGACGCGGGAGUGCCUUCGGGAACUGUAAGACAGGUGCUGCAUGGCUGUCGUCAGCUCGUGUUGUGAAAUGUUGGGUUAAGUCCCGCAACGAGCGCAACCCUUAUCCUUGUUUGCCAGCGAGUAAUGUCGGGAACUCCAGGGAGACUGCCGGUGAUAAACCGGAGGAAGGUGGGGACGACGUCAAGUCAUCAUGGCCCUUACGAGUAGGGCUACACACGUGCUACAAUGGCGCAUACAGAGGGCAGCAAGCUAGCGAUAGUGAGCGAAUCCCAAAAAGUGCGUCGUAGUCCGGAUUGGAGUCUGCAACUCGACUCCAUGAAGUCGGAAUCGCUAGUAAUCG
RNAcentral lists this ribosomal RNA (429 nucleotides) under uncultured bacterium. RNAcentral describes it as "bacterial SSU rRNA". It matches the Rfam family "Bacterial small subunit ribosomal RNA", at positions 917 to 1344 of the family's 1533-position model. The record is from RNAcentral.